CAGCCGCCGCGGUAAUACGAAGGGGGCUAGCGUUGCUCGGAAUCACUGGGCGUAAAGGGUGCGUAGGCGGGUCUUUAAGUCAGAGGUGAAAUCCUGGAGCUCAACUCCAGAACUGCCUUUGAUACUGAAAGUCUUGAGUAUGGGAGAGGUGAGUGGAACUGCGAGUGUAGAGGUGAAAUUCGUAGAUAUUCGCAAGAACACCAGUGGCGAAGGCGGCUCACUGGCCCAUAACUGACGCUGAGGCACGAAAGCGUGGGGAGCAAACAGGAUUAGAUACCCCGGUAGUCCCUGUCUCUUAUAC
This 301-nucleotide ribosomal RNA is filed under the name uncultured bacterium. RNAcentral's name for it is "partial 16S ribosomal RNA". It matches the Rfam family "Bacterial small subunit ribosomal RNA", at positions 509 to 807 of the family's 1533-position model. The record is from RNAcentral.